GGCGAACGCUGGCGGCGUGCUUAACACAUGCAAGUCGAACGGAAAGGCCCUGCUUUUGUGGGGUGCUCGAGUGGCGAACGGGUGAGUAACGCGUGAGUAACCUGCCCUUGACUUUGGGAUAACUUCAGGAAACUGGGGCUAAUACCGGAUAGGAGCUCCUGCUGCAUGGUGGGGGUUGGAAAGUUUCGGCGGUUGGGGAUGGACUCGCGGCUUAUCAGCUUGUUGGUGGGGUAGUGGCUUACCAAGGCUUUGACGGGUAGCCGGCCUGAGAGGGUGACCGGCCACAUUGGGACUGAGAUACGGCCCAGACUCCUACGGGAGGCAGCAGUGGGGAAUAUUGCACAAUGGGCGGAAGCCUGAUGCAGCAACGCCGCGUGCGGGAUGACGGCCUUCGGGUUGUAAACCGCUUUCGCCUGUGACGAAGCGUGAGUGACGGUAAUGGGUAAAGAAGCACCGGCUAACUACGUG
RNAcentral lists this ribosomal RNA (468 nucleotides) under uncultured bacterium. RNAcentral describes it as "partial 16S ribosomal RNA". It matches the Rfam family "Bacterial small subunit ribosomal RNA", at positions 28 to 507 of the family's 1533-position model. The record is from RNAcentral.